Molecule: long non-coding RNA, 1229 nt
Organism: Triplophysa rosa
Lineage: Eukaryota; Metazoa; Chordata; Actinopteri; Cypriniformes; Nemacheilidae
Exons: 4
Source: RefSeq, a predicted model, not a curated record
CGGGCAAGGAAGGAGGCGGGGCGCGAAGGAGGAGACUUGGCCAAUGGUGAUCGCGGAGGGGGCGGAGAUAACUGGAGCGCUAUGAUGAAUAUAAGAAAGGGAGAGCUAUGACAACAUCCCUCCGGGCGAAAGUACUUGAAAACCCGUAUCGCCAAAUCCUGACAUGCAGGAAAGGACCCGAGCAUCUAAGCAGCGGCCUACAGGCAGUCGUGUACACCUGUAGCUGUCGUAUACCUGGCUGCACGCGCUGGACAAACCUCAAUGUAUGCCCGGGCUGUCCUGUUACACCCAAUUAAAGGCCGGAUUGUGUACAGCACAUUGUAAGCCUCUUCUGAGGAAUAAACCCCGCCAGCUGGAGGCAGAGAAAGCCAACGUGCCAACCGGAAUGUAGCUUUGCCUCAAACCUGUUCUUGCCCAAAGAUUUCUUCUGCUCUUUCCUUCAGGGGAUUCGAUCAUGGGCUGUUUCUGCUCAUGGUACAGACUGAUCUCAGUAACCGUGUGUUAAUCUGUGUCUGUCGCUUAAGAACCAUCGGUGAGAAAUGUGGAGGGGUGCACAAGACACAGGCUGCUCAGGAUUUAAAAAUGUUAAAAUGGAGUCAAGCUCCUUUUUCUGAAACUAACAGACACUGAAUUAUGGGCGUGGGAUCUAUUUAACCAUCAGGGGUAAAUAAACGCAAUACACACAUCACCGAGGUGUGUUCAUCUCAUUGCAGAACGAAGCCAGGUAAAUGUGAAAGAGAGCUAAAAAUCCACGUGUCCUGCUCUGAAUGGCCUAUUUUCUGUCCUGAAUGAGUUUUCUCUCUGCACACAGAGUAAGUGACACACACCUUGACACACAUCUAUUCAUGAUCUGUGCUCAGUAAUGAAGGCCCGCGUGCACUCAAUAUUCCCCCGCAGCUCAGCGACACGUUCUGCCCUCUGGCAAAGGAAAGAAAGGAGAGAAAAUGAAGCAGAUGAGUGCAAAGAGGCUCUUGGGGGUGAAGGAAAUGCAUCGGGCACGCUAAACGGGGUGAGACGGGGUCGAGAGAAGUGCCGCGGUCGACCGGGAACAUCCCUCAAUCUCAGAAGUACAGACACGCUGCUCAUACAGUUGAGAUGUUGACGUCAUGCUCUGAAGGUCCAGCGGUCAGGUACGCUCUCAGGGUUAAUGGUGCCUGUCUCUCUCUCCCGUCUCACAGUAUUCCACCCUCAUGCGGUACGGCUUCAGUCACAUGACCCCUGACAUACAG